AACGAACGCUGGCGGCAUGCCUAACACAUGCAAGUCGAACGAGACCUUCGGGUCUAGUGGCGCACGGGUUCGUAACGCGUUGGAACCUGCCUUUAGGUUCGGAAUAACUCAGAGAAAUUUGAGCUAAUACCGGUUGAUGUCUUCGGACCAAAGAUUUAUCGCCUUUAGAUGGGCCCGCGUUGGAUUAGCUAGUUGGUGGGGUAAAGGCCUACCAAGGCGACGAUCCAUAGCUGGUCUGAGAGGAUGAUCAGCCACACUGGGACUGAGACACGGCCCAGACUACGACGGGAGGCAGCAGUGGGGAAUAUUGGACAAUGGGCGAAAGACUGAUCAAGCAAUGCCGCGUGAGUGAUGAAGGCAUUAGGGUUGUAAAGCUCUUUUAACCGAGAUGAUAAUGACAGUAACGGGAGAAUAAGCACCGGCUAACUCCGUG
Molecule: ribosomal RNA, 433 nt
Filed under: uncultured bacterium
Lineage: Bacteria
Description: partial 16S ribosomal RNA
Rfam family: Bacterial small subunit ribosomal RNA
Source: RNAcentral